Neofelis nebulosa (Clouded leopard) is the source of this 303-nucleotide long non-coding RNA. RefSeq lists it as uncharacterized. The record is from RefSeq and is a predicted model, not a curated record. NCBI's taxonomy places the organism in Eukaryota, Metazoa, Chordata, Mammalia, Carnivora, Felidae. The transcript has 2 exons.
AAUUUUCUUUCCUUAUCAAUAUAGGAUCUUCAUAAAGUAAUGAAUAAUAUUUACAUUUGGAAGAAAAGAAGAGGGAAGAAGAUUAAAAAACAAAAAAGAAAGAAGAGGAUGUGGCUGCAUUCUACCUAGUGGUUUUACUGAUGGAUAACUUAAAAUAGUGCGAGACGCUGUUGGAAAUCUGUGCCUUGCAGCCUGAUCACCAAUGGCCAGCACCUGCAUCUGUAGAAGAGGGCUGGCUUCAGGCUGCUGGAAUCUACUCUGCCAGUAUGGAACAGUCCAAAUAAAACAGAACCAGAGCUUGAA